This 406-nucleotide ribosomal RNA is filed under the name uncultured bacterium. RNAcentral's name for it is "bacterial SSU rRNA". It matches the Rfam family "Bacterial small subunit ribosomal RNA", at positions 370 to 772 of the family's 1533-position model. The record is from RNAcentral.
AAUGGGCGAAAGCCUGACGCAGCAACGCCGCGUGUGUGACGAAGGCCCUAGGGUUGUAAAGCACUGUGGGAAGGGAAGAAAAAACGGGGGUUGUACCCCGUCUUGACGGUACCUUGUUAGAAAGCACCGGCUAACUCCGUGCCAGCAGCCGCGGUAAUACGGAGGGUGCAAGCGUUGUUCGGAAUUAUUGGGCGUAAAGGGCGUGUAGGUGGCUUGCCAAGUCUGGUGUGAAAGCCCACGGCUCAACCGUGGAACUGCAUUGGAAACUGGCAAGCUCGAGUGUUGGAGGGGGUCGCGGAAUUCCCGGUGUAGAGGUGAAAUUCGUAGAUAUCGGGAGGAACACCAGUGGCGAAGGCGGCGACCUGGCCAAUCACUGACACUGAGACGCGAAAGCGUGGGGAGCAAA